UAUGGCAAUCCGGCAUAUGAGCGGAUGGCAGUGACACCUUCGGAUUGGAGGUACUGCCAAUGACAGUGUACCAAGCAUUAAUGCUCAAUUUCAUUUGCGGGGCUCGUUAUAGCAAUACUGUCGUUCAAAGAAAGAAAAUGAUCCGCCUCAUAUGCCAUCGCAGUGGCUGAAGUGGAUCAUUUUUCAAAUUCGAUUUACUUAUCAUGCAUGUUGUCCGCUCAUUGCGGAUGUUGCCAUGCUUGCCAUCAGUGUUACCAGCAUUGAUG
This 266-nucleotide small RNA is filed under the name Sporolactobacillus laevolacticus DSM 442. RNAcentral's name for it is "BsrG". It matches the Rfam family "BsrG". From Rfam's summary of the family: bsrE, bsrG and bsrH pair through intermolecular interactions with antisense sRNAs. SR4 interaction with the 3'UTR of bsrG RNA promotes bsrG degradation and inhibits its translation. The record is from Rfam by way of RNAcentral. Lineage: Bacteria; Bacillati; Bacillota; Bacilli; Caryophanales; Sporolactobacillaceae.